GACGAACGCUGGCGGCGUGCCUAAUACAUGCAAGUAGAACGCUGAAGGAGGAGCUUGCUCUUCUGGAUGAGUUGCGAAAGGGUGAGUAACGCGUAGGUAACCUGCCUGGUAGCGGGGGAUAACUAUUGGAAACGAUAGCUAAUACCGCAUAACAGUAGAUGUUGCAUGACAUUUACUUAAAAGGUGCAAUUGCAUCACUACCAGAUGGACCUGCGUUGUAUUAGCUAGUUGGUGGGGUAACGGCUCACCAAGGCGACGAUACAUAGCCGACCUGAGAGGGUGAUCGGCCACACUGGGACUGAGACACGGCCCAGACUCCUACGGGAGGCAGCAGUAGGGAAUCUUCGGCAAUUGACGGAAGUCUGACCGAGCAACGCCGCGUGAGUGAAGAAGGGUUUCGGAUCGUAAAGCUCUGUUGUAAGAGAAGAACGAGUGUGAGAGUGGAAAGUUCACACUGUGACGGUAUCUUACCAGAAAGGGACGGCUAACUACGUG
RNAcentral lists this ribosomal RNA (495 nucleotides) under uncultured bacterium. RNAcentral describes it as "partial 16S ribosomal RNA". It matches the Rfam family "Bacterial small subunit ribosomal RNA", at positions 28 to 507 of the family's 1533-position model. The record is from RNAcentral.